This 2859-nucleotide ribosomal RNA is filed under the name Salmonella enterica subsp. enterica serovar Typhimurium. RNAcentral describes it as "bacterial LSU rRNA". Lineage: Bacteria; Pseudomonadati; Pseudomonadota; Gammaproteobacteria; Enterobacterales; Enterobacteriaceae. The record is from RNAcentral.
AGCGUACACGGUGGAUGCCCUGGCAGUCAGAGGCGAUGAAGGGCGUGCUAAUCUGCGAUAAGCGCCGGUAAGGUGAUAUGAACCGUUAUAACCGGCGAUACCCGAAUGGGGAAACCCAGUGUGACUCGUCACACUAUCAUUAACUGAAUCCAUAGGUUAAUGAGGCGAACCGGGGGAACUGAAACAUCUAAGUACCCCGAGGAAAAGAAAUCAACCGAGAUUCCCCCAGUAGCGGCGAGCGAACGGGGAGGAGCCCAGAGCCUGAAUCAGCAUGUGUGUUAGUGGAAGCGUCUGGAAAGGCGCGCGAUACAGGGUGACAGCCCCGUACACAAAAGCGCAUGUGCUGUGAGCUCGAUGAGUAGGGCGGGACACGUGGUAUCCUGUCUGAAUAUGGGGGGACCAUCCUCCAAGGCUAAAUACUCCUGACUGACCGAUAGUGAACCAGUACCGUGAGGGAAAGGCGAAAAGAACCCCGGCGAGGGGAGUGAAAAAGAACCUGAAACCGUGUACGUACAAGCAGUGGGAGCACCCUUCGGGGUGUGACUGCGUACCUUUUGUAUAAUGGGUCAGCGACUUAUAUUCUGUAGCAAGGUUAACCGUAUAGGGGAGCCGGAGGGAAACCGAGUCUUAACCGGGCGUUAAGUUGCAGGGUAUAGACCCGAAACCCGGUGAUCUAGCCAUGGGCAGGUUGAAGGUUGGGUAACACUAACUGGAGGACCGAACCGACUAAUGUUGAAAAAUUAGCGGAUGACCUGUGGCUGGGGGUGAAAGGCCAAUCAAACCGGGAGAUAGCUGGUUCUCCCCGAAAGCUAUUUAGGUAGCGCCUCGUGAAUUCAUCUCCGGGGGUAGAGCACUGUUUCGGCUAGGGGGCCAUCCCGGCUUACCAACCCGAUGCAAACUGCGAAUACCGGAGAAUGUUAUCACGGGAGACACACGGCGGGUGCUAACGUCCGUCGUGAAGAGGGAAACAACCCAGACCGCCAGCUAAGGUCCCAAAGUCAUGGUUAAGUGGGAAACGAUGKGGGAAGGCCCAGACAGCCAGGAUGUUGGCUUAGAAGCAGCCAUCAUUUAAAGAAAGCGUAAUAGCUCACUGGUCGAGUCGGCCUGCGCGGAAGAUGUAACGGGGCUAAACCAUGCACCGAAGCUGCGGCAGCGAACGUAUCACCCAAGACAACUUUACGGAGUUGACGAUUGACGGAGCGAAGCGACGUCAAAGCGUUCAUUAAAGUCGAGUUGGCUUAGGGAUACGUUCGUUGGGUAGGGGAGCGUUCUGUAAGCCUGUGAAGGUGUGUCGUGAGGCAUGCUGGAGGUAUCAGAAGUGCGAAUGCUGACAUAAGUAACGAUAAAGCGGGUGAAAAGCCCGCUCGCCGGAAGACCAAGGGUUCCUGUCCAACGUUAAUCGGGGCAGGGUGAGUCGACCCCUAAGGCGAGGCCGAAAGGCGUAGUCGAUGGGAAACGGGUUAAUAUUCCCGUACUUGGUGUUACUGCGAAGGGGGGACGGAGAAGGCUAUGUUGGCCGGGCGACGGUUGUCCCGGUUUAAGCGUGUAGGUGUGUGUUCCAGGUAAAUCCGGUUCACUUUAACACUGAGGCGUGACGACGAGGCACUACGGUGCUGAAGCAACAAAUGCCCUGCUUCCAGGAAAAGCCUCUAAGCAUCAGGUAACAUCAAAUCGUACCCCAAACCGACACAGGUGGUCAGGUAGAGAAUACCAAGGCGCUUGAGAGAACUCGGGUGAAGGAACUAGGCAAAAUGGUGCCGUAACUUCGGGAGAAGGCACGCUGACACGUAGGUGAAGUGAUUUACUCAUGGAGCUGAAGUCAGUCGAAGAUACCAGCUGGCUGCAACUGUUUAUUAAAAACACAGCACUGUGCAAACACGAAAGUGGACGUAUACGGUGUGACGCCUGCCCGGUGCCGGAAGGUUAAUUGAUGGGGUCAGCGCAAGCGAAGCUCCUGAUCGAAGCCCCGGUAAACGGCGGCCGUAACUAUAACGGUCCUAAGGUAGCGAAAUUCCUUGUCGGGUAAGUUCCGACCUGCACGAAUGGCGUAAUGAUGGCCAGGCUGKCUCCACCCGAGACUCAGUGAAAUUGAACUCGCUGUGAAGAUGCAGUGUACCCGCGGCAAGACGGAAAGACCCCGUGAACCUUUACUAUAGCUUGACACUGAACAUUGAGCCUUGAUGUGUAGGAUAGGUGGGAGGCUUUGAAGUGUGGACGCCAGUCUGCAUGGAGCCGACCUUGAAAUACCACCCUUUAAUGUUUGAUGUUCUAACGUGGACCCGUAAUCCGGGUUGCGGACAGUGUCUGGUGGGUAGUUUGACUGGGGCGGUCUCCUCCUAAAGAGUAACGGAGGAGCACGAAGGUUGGCUAAUCCUGGUCGGACAUCAGGAGGUUAGKGCAAUGGCAUAAGCCAGCUUGACUGCGAGCGUGACGGCGCGAGCAGGUGCGAAAGCAGGUCAUAGUGAUCCGGUGGUUCUGAAUGGAAGGGCCAUCGCUCAACGGAUAAAAGGUACUCCGGGGAUAACAGGCUGAUACCGCCCAAGAGUUCAUAUCGACGGCGGUGUUUGGCACCUCGAUGUCGGCUCAUCACAUCCUGGGGCUGAAGUAGGUCCCAAGGGUAUGGCUGUUCGCCAUUUAAAGUGGUACGCGAGCUGGGUUUAGAACGUCGUGAGACAGUUCGGUCCCUAUCUGCCGUGGGCGCUGGAGAACUGAGGGGGGCUGCUCCUAGUACGAGAGGACCGGAGUGGACGCAUCACUGGUGUUCGGGUUGUCAUGCCAAUGGCACUGCCCGGUAGCUAAAUGCGGAAGAGAUAAGUGCUGAAAGCAUCUAAGCACGAAACUUGCCCCGAGAUGAGUUCU